RNAcentral lists this ribosomal RNA (253 nucleotides) under uncultured bacterium. RNAcentral's name for it is "partial 16S ribosomal RNA". It matches the Rfam family "Bacterial small subunit ribosomal RNA", at positions 524 to 776 of the family's 1533-position model. The record is from RNAcentral.
UACGUAGGGGGCAAGCGUUGUCCGGAAUCAUUGGGCGUAAAGCGCGUGUAGGCGGCUCGAUAAGUCUGCUGUGAAAGUCCAGGGCUCAACCCUGGGAUGCCGGUGGAUACUGUCAAGCUCGAGUCCGGAAGAGGCGAGUGGAAUUCCUGGUGUAGCGGUGAAAUGCGCAGAUAUCAGGAGGAACACCAAUGGCGAAGGCAGCUCGCUGGGACGGUACUGACGCUGAGACGCGAAAGCGUGGGGAGCAAACAGG